GACGAACGCUGGCGGCGUGCUUAACACAUGCAAGUCGAACGAUGAUGCUGGAGCUUGCUCCAGUUGAUUAGUGGCGAACGGGUGAGUAACACGUGAGCAAUCUGCCCUUGACUCUGGGAUAACUGCGGGAAACUGUAGCUAAUACCGGAUACUUUCACCGGAAGGCAUCUUCUGGUGAUGAAAGAAUUUCGGUCAGGGAUGAGCUCGCGGCCUAUCAGCUUGUUGGUGAGGUAACGGCUCACCAAGGCGACGACGGGUAGCCGGCCUGAGAGGGAGACCGGCCACACUGGGACUAAGACACGGCCAGGACUCCGCCGGGAGGCAGCAGUGGGAAAUAUUGCACAAGGGGCGCAAGCCUGAUGCAGCACCGCCGCGUGGGGGAUGAAGGCUUUCGGUUUAUAAACCUCUUUUAGCAGGGAAGAAGCGAAAGUGCCGGUACCUGAAGAAAAAGCACCGGCUAACUACGUGCCACCCGCCGCGGUAA
RNAcentral lists this ribosomal RNA (484 nucleotides) under uncultured bacterium. RNAcentral describes it as "partial 16S ribosomal RNA". It matches the Rfam family "Bacterial small subunit ribosomal RNA", at positions 28 to 523 of the family's 1533-position model. The record is from RNAcentral.